UACGGAGGGUGCAAGCGUUGUCCGGAUUUAUUGGGUUUAAAGGGUGCGUAGGCGGUUAUUUAAGUCAGCGGUGAAAUCCUUCAGCUUAACUGGAGAAUUGCCAUUGAUACUGGAUAACUUGAGUUCAGACGAGGUAGGCGGAAUUUAUGGUGUAGCGGUGAAAUGCAUAGAUACCAUAAAGAACACCGAUUGCGAAGGCAGCUUACUAGACUGAAACUGACGCUGAGGCACGAAAGCGUGGGUAGCAAACAGG
Molecule: ribosomal RNA, 253 nt
Filed under: uncultured bacterium
Lineage: Bacteria
Description: partial 16S ribosomal RNA
Rfam family: Bacterial small subunit ribosomal RNA
Source: RNAcentral